Molecule: ribosomal RNA, 280 nt
Filed under: uncultured bacterium
Lineage: Bacteria
Description: partial 16S ribosomal RNA
Rfam family: Bacterial small subunit ribosomal RNA
Source: RNAcentral
ACUUGCUUUCUUUGCUGGCGACCGGCGCACGGGUGAGUAACACGUAUCCAACCUACCCUUUACUCGGGGAUAGCCUUUCGAAAGAAAGAUUAAUACCCGAUAGCAUAAUGAUUCCGCAUGGUUUCAUUAUUAAAGGAUUCCGGUAAAGGAUGGGGAUGCGUUCCAUUAGGUUGUUGGUGGGGUAACGGCCCACCAAGCCUUCGAUGGAUAGGGGUUCUGAGAGGAAGGUCCCCCACAUUGGAACUGAGACAUGGUCCAAACUCCUACGGGAGGCAGCAUG